This 50-nucleotide transfer RNA is filed under the name Blaesodactylus sakalava. Its description in RNAcentral is "partial tRNA-Leu". The record is from RNAcentral. Lineage: Eukaryota; Metazoa; Chordata; Lepidosauria; Squamata; Gekkonidae.
ACUUUUAAAGGACAGUAGACACUCCACUAGCCUUAGGAGCUAGUUCCCCU